AGUGAACGCUGGCGGUAGGCCUAACACACGCAAGUCGAACGGCAGCACAGUAAGAGCUUGCUCUUACGGGUGGCGAGUGGCGGACGGGUGAGGAAUACAUCGGAAUCUACUUUUUCGUGGGGGAUAACGUAGGGAAACUUACGCUAAUACCGCAUACGACCUACGGGUGAAAGCAGGGGAUCUUCGGGCCUUGCGCGAUUGAAUGAGCCGAUGUCGGAUUAGCUAGUUGGCGGGGUAAAGGCCCACCAAGGCGACGAUCCGUAGCUGGUCUGAGAGGAUGAUCAGCCACACUGGAACUGAGACACGGUCCAGACUCCUACGGGAGGCAGCAGUGGGGAAUAUUGGACAAUGGGCGCAAGCCUGAUCCAGCCAUACCGCGUGGGUGAAGAAGGCCUUCGGGUUGUAAAGCCCUUUUGUUGGGAAAGAAAAGCAGCAGGUUAAUACCCCGCUGUUCUGACGGUACCCAAAGAAUAAGCACCGGCUAACUUCGUG
RNAcentral lists this ribosomal RNA (492 nucleotides) under uncultured bacterium. Its description in RNAcentral is "partial 16S ribosomal RNA". It matches the Rfam family "Bacterial small subunit ribosomal RNA", at positions 29 to 507 of the family's 1533-position model. The record is from RNAcentral.